CCCCUCCUGUCCGCACCUGAAGCAUGCUGUUGUCCCAAUCAAACAGACUCCCUUGUGCUGCCUACCGCACCGUAUACAUCUGGAGUUACCCGAACCAGAGCUCGAACCAUCACCUAAACCCAGACCAGACUUUAUCUGUUCCCAAAACUUGCUCUUCUUCGAUCUUCUGAGGCCUCUGCCUCCCUUCUUACUCUUUGGGACAGCCUCGCUUAGAGGGGAGAGAUCAACAUCACUUGUCCCCGGGAUUUUGGAACCCGAAGACUGUGCCACGUACUGUUUAACUGUCCCCUGGACAAUGGCACUAGCCUCCAUUCUCCGUGCCAUAUCCACUAUAGCAUGGAAGCUCUCCCUUUCUGCUGAUUGAACCAACGAGGA
This 375-nucleotide long non-coding RNA is filed under the name Manihot esculenta (cassava). RNAcentral describes it as "long non-coding RNA (MESC_LNC003921)". The record is from RNAcentral. Lineage: Eukaryota; Viridiplantae; Streptophyta; Magnoliopsida; Malpighiales; Euphorbiaceae.